AUCCUCUUGAACUUGGUGUCAUCUCAUUGAGACACAUCUCCACAAGAUGAGAGCGAAGUGGAGGAAGAAGCGCAUGCGCAGGCUGAAGCGUAAAAGGAGAAAGAUGAGGCAGAGGUCCAAGUAGACUGGCCCCAUUCUCCGCAGCUGUGACUCCUCAUCCUCCAUUCCUCCAGUCCCAGCCUGUCCUGGUUCCUGUGUAGCCCCGUGGUCCUGAGAUGUUCCUGGCAGAGCAGGCAGCGUCUUAGUCACCCUGCACUGGGCCCAGGAUGCAGAGCGUCUCCAGGGUUACCAGCGGGAUGCUGUCCGUGGGACACUGGAGGAGACCAGAGGGUGGAGGGUUCCUGACAAGGUUCGCCACCUGAUCCUGGGAAAAUCUGGACAUUAACACCAGCCCAGCACAGCUGCUAUUUUCCAAUGAAGACCACAAUAAAAUUUGGUUUAUAAACUA
Long non-coding RNA from Chanos chanos (milkfish), 448 nucleotides. RefSeq lists it as uncharacterized. The record is from RefSeq and is a predicted model, not a curated record. Lineage: Eukaryota; Metazoa; Chordata; Actinopteri; Gonorynchiformes; Chanidae. The transcript has 4 exons.